Molecule: ribosomal RNA, 253 nt
Filed under: uncultured bacterium
Lineage: Bacteria
Description: partial 16S ribosomal RNA
Rfam family: Bacterial small subunit ribosomal RNA
Source: RNAcentral
UACAGAGGGUGCAAGCGUUAAUCGGAAUUACUGGGCGUAAAGCGCACGCAGGCGGAUUGAUAAGUCAGGGGUGAAAUCCCGGAGCUCAACUUCGGAAUUGCCUUUGAUACUGUCUGUCUUGAGUCCGGGAGAGGUGAGUGGAAUUCCUAGUGUAGAGGUGAAAUUCGUAGAUAUUAGGAAGAACACCAGUGGCGAAGGCGGCUCACUGGCCCGGUACUGACGCUCAUGUGCGAAAGCGUGGGGAGCAAACAGG